GGCCCCGUAGCUCAGCGGUUAGAGCAGUCGACUCAUAAUCGAUUGGUCCCUGGUUCGAAUCCAGGCGGGGCUA
Molecule: transfer RNA, 73 nt
Filed under: Planctomycetales bacterium ZRK34
Lineage: Bacteria; Pseudomonadati; Planctomycetota; Planctomycetia; Planctomycetales
Rfam family: tRNA
About the family: Transfer RNA (tRNA) molecules are approximately 80 nucleotides in length.
Source: Rfam by way of RNAcentral